GGGGUAAAAGGGAGACUACUUUGGAGGGUCCGGUGAGGAAGAGAAAGGGGGUAGGGGCGGUCAGGCGGUGGUGCGCGGUUAGGGCGGCAGCGGGCAGCUAGGCCGCGCGUCAAGGUGGGAGCAGAGAGAGGGAUCAGGUUAGACCGUCGGGAGCCGGUACUGCGACGCUCGAGACCGGCCGAACUGGAGCAGCCGAGCAGCGGGGGUAAGUUAUCCACGACCUCCGGCGAGGAGCCCUGGCGCCGCCAGAAGAAGUACCCGAGAGAGAGGGAAGUGGAGGAUGCGGUACAUAGUCGGGGAAGGACUUUGAGGAGGAGUAGGCACACGGGGAGACUACAGCGGCUCACCUGGUGCGGGUGUGGGCGGAGGUGGGUGGACAUGGUCCGGUGUAGUCUAAAACUUCCGCCGAAAGUUUCCCCCACUCUACUACGAGCAGUUCUGAUCGACUUUUCCUUACCCUCUGUCAUGACUUCUUAGUACUAGAUACCGUUCCCACUACUACAGAUACCGCUACUAACAAUACUAGAUAAACCGCUGCUCGUAAUACUAGGUAUACCACUACUUCCCACUGCUCAGAUCACUAGAAAGAAGUUCUGCAAGUUGUUUCACUUUAGUA
This 616-nucleotide ribosomal RNA is filed under the name Triticum aestivum (bread wheat). Its description in RNAcentral is "partial small subunit ribosomal RNA". The record is from RNAcentral. Lineage: Eukaryota; Viridiplantae; Streptophyta; Magnoliopsida; Poales; Poaceae.